GGAUUUAUUGGGUUUAAAGGGUCCGUAGGCGGAUCUGUAAGUCAGUGGGUGAAAUCUCACAGCUUAACUGUGAAACUGCCAUUGAUACUGCAGGUCUUGAGUGUUGUUGAAGUAGCUGGAAUAAGUAGUGUAGCGGUGAAAUGCAUAGAUAUUACUUAGAACACCAAUUGCGAAGGCAGGUUACUAAGCAACAACUGACGCUGAUGGACGAAAGCGUGGGGAGCGAACAGGAUUAGAUACCCUGGUAGUCCACGCCGUAAACGAUGCUAACUCGUUUUUGGAAUGUAAGUUUCAGAGACUAAGCGAAAGUGAUAAGUUAGCCACCUGGGGAGUACGAACGCAAGUUUGAAACUCAAAGGAAUUGACGGGGGCCCGCACAAGCGGUGGAUUAUGUGGUUUAAUUCGAUGAUACGCGAGGAACCUUACCAAGGCUUAAAUGGGAAAUGACAGGUUUAGAAAUAGACUUUUCUUCGGACAUUUUUCAAGGUGCUGCAUGGUUGUCGUCAGCUCGUGCCGUGAGGUGUUAGGUUAAGUCCUGCAACGAGCGCAACCCCUGUCACUAGUUGCCAUCAUUAAGUUGGGGACUCUAGUGAGACUGCCUACGCAAGUAGAGAGGAAGGUGGGGAUGACGUCAAAUCAUCACGGCCCUUACGCCUUGGGCCACACACGUAAUACAAUGGCCGGUACAGAGGGCAGCUACACUGCGAAGUGAUGCAAAUCUCGAAAGCCGGUCUCAGUUCGGAUUGGAGUCUGCAACUCGACUCUAUGAAGCUGGAAUCGCUAGUAAUCGCGCAUCAGCCAUGGCGCGGUGAAUACGUUCCCGGGCCUUGUACACACCGCCCGUCAAGCCAUGGAAGUCUGGGGUACCUGAAGUCGGUGACCGUAACAGGAGC
This 893-nucleotide ribosomal RNA is filed under the name Chryseobacterium gleum. RNAcentral describes it as "bacterial SSU rRNA". It matches the Rfam family "Bacterial small subunit ribosomal RNA", at positions 547 to 1453 of the family's 1533-position model. Lineage: Bacteria; Pseudomonadati; Bacteroidota; Flavobacteriia; Flavobacteriales; Weeksellaceae. The record is from RNAcentral.